UUCCUCAAGAAUCCAAGUGAAUUCAUUUGCUUCCCCUACACGACAGUUUCGAGGCAAGUAAGAGAUUUCCCCUCUCUUCUCCUUCCACCCUCAAUUCUCUCCAAACCGUGCGGUCUCUCUCUUCUCUCAAAGCCGAUCUCUCUCAUUCGUAAAUCUAAGACUUUCCACCUUCAAUCCUCAAAGGAAAAUCGACCCCCUUUGAGAUUUCGAACUUCUCUUCAUUUAUUGUUGCUAUGUACUUCCGUGACUACAAAAGAGACCCAAACAGGAAUUUAUUUUCAAGAUUCAAGGAACUUACUUGUAAAGCCAUGAGGUAAUGAUGAAAAGGCUGGGGAGUAAGGCAUUACUGCAGAGGGAGAGGCAGACGCUUAGGACCUUCCCUAACGAGGACAGUUAUGUUACGAAUGAUGGGUUAUGUUAUGUAUAGAUAUUUUAAUUUGGGAUGGACUCUGAGAGUCUCUUAUGAAUGAAUGUUCGAAUAGAACGUCCAUUAAGUGUUCCCUUUUAUUAAAUGAAGAAAAUUUAGAGUGCAUGUGUUA
Long non-coding RNA from Juglans regia (Persian walnut), 539 nucleotides. RefSeq lists it as uncharacterized. Lineage: Eukaryota; Viridiplantae; Streptophyta; Magnoliopsida; Fagales; Juglandaceae. The transcript is spliced from 4 exons. The record is from RefSeq and is a predicted model, not a curated record.